AAUUUUUGACAAUGGGCGCAAGCUUGAUCCAGCAAUGCCGCGUGAGUGAAGAAGGCCUUCGGGCUUUAAAGCUCUUUCGGUCGGAAAGAAAUCGCGCAGGCUAAUACCCUGCGAGGAUGACGGUACCGUCAUAAGAAGCACAGGAUAACUACGUGCCUGCAGACGAGGUAAUACGUAGGGUGCGAGCGUUAAACGGAAUUACUGGGCGUAAAGCGUGCGCAGGCGGUUGAUUAAGACAGGCGUGAAAUCCCCGGGCUUAACCUGGGAACUGCGCUUGUGACUGGUCAGCUAGAGUACGGCAGAGGGGGGUGGAAUUCCACGUGUAGCAGUGAAAUGCGUAGAGAUGUGGAGGAACACCGAUGGCGAAGGCAGCCCCCUGGGCCGAUACUGACGCUCAUGCAUGAAAGCGUGGGUAGCAAACAGG
This 424-nucleotide ribosomal RNA is filed under the name uncultured bacterium. RNAcentral's name for it is "partial 16S ribosomal RNA". It matches the Rfam family "Bacterial small subunit ribosomal RNA", at positions 360 to 776 of the family's 1533-position model. The record is from RNAcentral.